AGCAGGAGCGAGAGCCCGAGCAGCGCCAUAAGCAACACUACCAUCAUCCCUAGCACUGUGGGUCCAUGCCCCAGCGGCAGACCUAGUGGCAGAGGUGGUGGUGGCAGAGGCAGCGGCACCGAGGUAAUCCAGGUGACUAAUGUCUCCCCGAGCGCUAGUUCUGAGUUGCAGACUCUCUUCGGUUUCCUAGAUAAGACUGACAAAUUGUGCCUCUUCCCACCAGAUGAUUCACCUUUGCCAGUUUCAUCUCGUGUCUGCUUUGUUAAGUUCCAUGAUCCAGACUCAGUAGCUGUGGCACAGCAUCUGACAAACACUGUAUUCACUGACACAGCUUUGACAGUCGUACCACAUGCAGAAGGAGUUAUUCCUGAUGAGGCUAAGGCUUUGUCUCUGUUGGCACCAGCUAAUGCAGUGGCAGGUCUUCCGCCCGAUGGUGGACUUCUGCCUACUCCUAACCCACUUACCCAGAUUGGUGCUGUUCCACUGGCUGUUUUGGGGGCUCUUACUCUUGAUCCCACCCUUGCUGCACCUGGGCGUCCUGGAGCAAACUUGAACUCUCAGUCUCUUGCCACAGAUCAGUUGCUGAAGCUUAUGAGUACUGUUGAUCCCAAGUUGAAUCAUGUAGCUGCUGGUCUGGUUUUACCAAGUCUGAAAUCGGAUACCUCCAGUGAAGAAAUAGAGGAAGCUAUGAAAAGAGUACGAGAAGCACAGUCCCUAAUUUCUGCUGCUAUAGAACCAAAUAAGAAAGAAGAAAAAAGAAGGCAUUCAAGAUCAAGAUCACGCUCUAGGAGGAGAAGGGGGACUCCCUCUUCUAGACAGGUGGUCAAGAAACAGAUCGAGAGGGCAAUCACAUUCUAAGCCUAAGAGUCGGCAACGAUCCAAAAGCCCAAGACGGAGAAGAUCUCAUUCCAGAGAGAGAGGUAGAAGGUCAAGGAGCACAUCAAAAAUGAGAGACAAAAAGAAAGAAGACAAAGAAAAGAAAUGUUCAAAACCACCACCAAAAAGUUACAGCACAGUCAGAUGUUCCAGACGUUCAAGCAGAGAGAGACGACAAUGCAGAGACAGGAGUGGAACAAGAUCUCCUAAAAAGCCUCAGUCUCCUAAAAGAAAAUUGUCUCGCUCACCAUCCCCUAGGAGACAUAAAAAGGAGAAGAAGAAAGAUAAAGACAAAGAAAGAGGUAGGGAUGAAAGAGAACAAUCAACAAGCAAGAAGAAGAAAAGUAAAGAUAAGGGAAAGGACCAGGAAAGAAAAUCAGAGAGUGAUAAAGAUGUAAAACAGGUUACACGGGAUUAUGAAGAAGAGGAACAGGGGUAUGACAGUGAGAAAGAGAAAAAACCAACAGAAACAGGUUCCCCUAAAACAAAGGAAUGUUCUGUGGAAAAAGGAACUGGCGAUUCACUAAGAGAAUCCAAAGUGAAUGGGGAUGAUCAUCAUGAAGGCAUGGAUAUGAGUGACUGAAUACUGCCUCUGUGGGAAUCCAACUGUAUACCUGCAUCAGUGUCAUUCCUUCAUGUAAUUUCUUAAUGCUGUAUUUGUUCAUCUCAAAUCUAGAUGUAUACACCUCUGAGUUAUAAAUGGUUAUAAAGCUCCUGUUACUGAUGUUAGUUAUUCACAUCAAAAAGCUUUUAGAAAAUGGUACAAGGUAGCCAAUUCUUGUCAUGGUGAAAUCUGAUUAACCAGGCAGUUUUACUAUUCUGGUGCUGCUUCAUAACAAAAAUGAAAAGCUGCAUGCGUCUACAGCAGGCAUGGAUUGUUUAUGUCGUAUGAUCUCCUUUAUUAAGUAAGUUCACUUACAGUAUUUCUAUAAUUUGAUUCAUUGCCAUAAUAGAGCCAUGUAGGAAAUGCACUGAUUGCAUGUUAUUGUGGCAAGAAUAUCCUAAAUGUCAUUAAAAUCCUUCAACAUGAUGGAUCUACUUAUGGUGUUGUUUGUUGACAUGACAAAUUAACAUUCUUACAGUUACAUCUGGAAAUGAGCAUUUGCAAUAGAUAAUCCUUUAAGCUUUGUGGUAAAAUUUUGUGGCUUUUGUUUAAGUUUGAAAGGUUAUUAUGCACUAACCUUUUUUGGUGUCUAAUUAGGGUUUAAAUAUAGAAACAAGAUUUCAAAUAAAACUGUCUUUGGCAGUGAGUAAACAGCAUAUUUUGAAGUAGAGUUGUAUACUUUUUCUUAAGAUGUUUGGGAAUUUUUUUUCCUGAAGUUAAUAAUUUAUUCCAUAUCUACAUGAGUGAAUGUUAUCUACCUAUCCUAGGUCCAUCUUAAAGGGGAAAGUAAAAAAAACAUCUCUUGCCCUUAUUUUGAAUUUUCAGUAAUUUAAGUUCAGUGUUGG
Sapajus apella (tufted capuchin) is the source of this 2325-nucleotide RNA transcript. It is a transcript of the gene named serine/arginine-rich splicing factor 11 pseudogene, with no coding region annotated. The record is from RefSeq and is a predicted model, not a curated record. The transcript has a single exon. NCBI's taxonomy places the organism in Eukaryota, Metazoa, Chordata, Mammalia, Primates, Cebidae.